AUGUCUCUUGCCUCGCUCGGUCUUCCGCUCCCCUCGGCUGAUCUUGAGCUGGAUGCAGCUUUUUUUUCUUUUCUGCAUGAGACGAGAGAAACUCGACGAUCUUUGAGUACGAUCCUAUCCGAAUCACCACGGGUAUCAUCGUAAUUUAUAGUCGAUAUAUCA
This 162-nucleotide small nucleolar RNA is filed under the name Penicilliopsis zonata CBS 506.65. The record is from RNAcentral. Lineage: Eukaryota; Fungi; Ascomycota; Eurotiomycetes; Eurotiales; Aspergillaceae.